This 1335-nucleotide ribosomal RNA is filed under the name uncultured bacterium. RNAcentral's name for it is "bacterial SSU rRNA". It matches the Rfam family "Bacterial small subunit ribosomal RNA", at positions 28 to 1381 of the family's 1533-position model. The record is from RNAcentral.
AGUGAACGCUGGCGGCGUGCCUAAUACAUCGCAAGUUCGAACGACGAAGUCUCUAGCUUGCUAGAGAAAGAAUAGUGGCGCACGGGUGAGUAAUGCAUAGGUAAUGUGCCUUUUAGUUUCGGGAUAGCCACUAGAAAUGGUGAUUAAUACCAAAUACUACCUUAUGAGGGAAAGAUUUAUCGCUAAAAGAUCAGCCUAUGUCCUAUCAGCUCGUUGGUGAGGUAAUGGCUUACCAAGGCUAUGACGGGUAUCCGGCCUGAGAGGGUGAACGGACACACUGGAACUGAGACACGGUCCAGACUCCUACGGGAGGCAGCAGUAGGGAAUAUUGCUCAAUGGGGGAAACCCUGAAGCAGCAACGCCGCGUGGAGGAUGAAGGUUUUAGGAUUGUAAACUCCUUUUGUUAGAGAAGAUAAUGACGGUAUCUAACGAAUAAGCACCGGCUAACUCCGUGCCAGCAGCCGCGGUAAUACGGAGGGUGCAAGCGUUACUCGGAAUCACUGGGCGUAAAGAGUGCGUAGGCGGGAAAAUAAGUCAGAUGUGAAAUCCUAUGGCUUAACCAUAGAACUGCAUUUGAAACCAUUUUUCUAGAGUGUGGGAGAGGUAGGUGGAAUUCUUGGUGUAGGGGUAAAAUCCGUAGAGAUCAAGAGGAAUACUCAUUGCGAAGGCGACCUGCUGGAACAUCACUGACGCUGAUUGCACGAAAGCGUGGGGAGCAAACAGGAUUAGAUACCCUGGUAGUCCACGCCCUAAACGAUGAAUGCUAGUUGUUGGGAGGCUUAGUCCUUUCAGUAAUGCAGCUAACGCAUUAAGCAUUCCGCCUGGGGAGUACGGUCGCAAGAUUAAAACUCAAAGGAAUAGACGGGGACCCGCACAAGCGGUGGAGCAUGUGGUUUAAUUCGAAGAUACACGAAGAACCUUACCUAGGCUUGACAUUGAUGGAAUUUUCUAGAAAUAGAGAAGUGUCUAGCUUGCUAGACCCUGAAAACAGGUGCUGCACGGCUGUCGUCAGCUCGUGUCGUGAGAUGUUGGGUUAAGUCCCGCAACGAGCGCAACCCUCUUUCUUAGUUGCUAACAGAUUAUGCUUGAGCACUCUAAGAAUACUGCCUGCGUAAGCAGGAGGAAGGUGAGGACGACGUCAAGUCAUCAUGGCCCUUACGCCUAGGGCUACACACGUGCUACAAUGGGGUGCACAAAGAGAAGCAAUACCGCGAGGUGGAGCAAAUCUAUAAAACGCCUCUCAGUUCGGAUUGUAGUCUGCAACUCGACUACAUGAAGCUGGAAUCGCUAGUAAUCGCAAAUCAGCCAUGUUGCGGUGAAUACGUUCCCGGGUCU